AACCUUAUGGACCUGCGGGCGUAUACCUGCGGAAGGAUCAUUACCGAGUUUACAACUCCCAAACCCCUGUGAACAUACCACUUGUUGCCUCGGCGGAUCAGCCCGCUCCCGGUAAAACGGGACGGCCCGCCAGAGGACCCCUAAACUCUGUUUCUAUACGUAACUUCUGAGUAAAACCAUAAAUAAAUCAAAACUUUCAACAACGGAUCU
This 210-nucleotide unclassified non-coding RNA is filed under the name soil metagenome. RNAcentral describes it as "partial contains 5.8S ribosomal RNA, internal transcribed spacer 2, and large subunit ribosomal RNA". The record is from RNAcentral.